CAGCAGCCGCGGGAAUACGUAGGUGGCAAGCGUUGUCCGGAAUUAUUGGGCGUAAAGGGCUCGCAGGCGGUUUCUUAAGUCUGAUGUGAAAGCCCCCGGCUCAACCGGGGAGGGUCAUUGGAAACUGGGAAACUUGAGUGCAGAAGAGGAGAGUGGAAUUCCACGUGUAGCGGUGAAAUGCGUAGAGAUGUGGAGGAACACCAGUGGCGAAGGCGACUCUCUGGUCAGUAACUGACGCUGAGGAGCGAAAGCGUGGGGAGCGAACAGGAUUAGAUACCCCCGUAGUCCCUGUCUCUUAUAC
Molecule: ribosomal RNA, 301 nt
Filed under: uncultured bacterium
Lineage: Bacteria
Description: partial 16S ribosomal RNA
Rfam family: Bacterial small subunit ribosomal RNA
Source: RNAcentral